GACGAACGCUGGCGGCGUGCUUAACACAUGCAAGUCGAACGUGAUUUUUGUGGAAAUUCUUUCGGGAAUGGAAAUGAAAUGAAAGUGGCGAACGGGUGAGUAACACGUGAGCAACCUACCUUACACAGGGGGAUAGCCGUUGGAAACGACGAUUAAUACCGCAUGAGACCACAGAAUCGCAUGAUAUAGGGGUCAAAGAUUUAUCGGUGUAAGAAGGGCUCGCGUCUGAUUAGCUAGUUGGAAGGGUAAAGGCCUACCAAGGCGACGAUCAGUAGCCGGUCUGAGAGGAUGAACCGCCACAUUGGAACUGAGACACGGUCCAAACUCCUACGGGAGGCAGCAGUGGGGAAUAUUGCACAAUGGGGGGAACCCUGAUGCAGCGACGCCGCGUGAGCGAAGAAGGUUUUCGAAUCGUAAAGCUCUGUCCUAUGAGAAGAUAAUGACGGUAGCAUAGGAGGAAGCCCCGGCUAAAUACGUG
RNAcentral lists this ribosomal RNA (478 nucleotides) under uncultured bacterium. Its description in RNAcentral is "partial 16S ribosomal RNA". It matches the Rfam family "Bacterial small subunit ribosomal RNA", at positions 28 to 507 of the family's 1533-position model. The record is from RNAcentral.